RNAcentral lists this ribosomal RNA (316 nucleotides) under Escherichia coli. RNAcentral describes it as "partial 23S ribosomal RNA". It matches the Rfam family "Bacterial large subunit ribosomal RNA", at positions 2627 to 2925 of the family's 2925-position model. Lineage: Bacteria; Pseudomonadati; Pseudomonadota; Gammaproteobacteria; Enterobacterales; Enterobacteriaceae. The record is from RNAcentral.
CAGUUCGGUCCCUAUCUGCCGUGGGCGCUGGAGAAUUGAGGGGGGCUGCUCCUAGUACGAGAGGACCGGAGUGGACGCAUCACUGGUGUUCGGGUUGUCAUGCCAAUGGCACUGCCCGGUAGCUAAAUGCGGAAGAGAUAAGUGCUGAAAGCAUCUAAGCACGAAACUUGCCCCGAGAUGAGUUCUCCCUGACUCCUUGAGAGUCCUGAAGGAACGUUGAAGACGACGACGUUGAUAGGCCGGGUGUGUAAGCGCAGCGAUGCGUUGAGCUAACCGGUACUAAUGAACCGUGAGGCUUAACCUUACAACGCCGAAG